RNAcentral lists this ribosomal RNA (440 nucleotides) under uncultured bacterium. Its description in RNAcentral is "partial 16S ribosomal RNA". It matches the Rfam family "Bacterial small subunit ribosomal RNA", at positions 338 to 795 of the family's 1533-position model. The record is from RNAcentral.
CCUACGGGCGGCAGCAGUGGGGAAUAUUGCACAAUGGGGGAAACCCUGAUGCAGCGACGCCGCGUGAGUGAAUAAGUAAUUCGUUAUGUAAAGCUCUAUCAGCCGGGAAGAAAAUGACGGUACCUGAGUAAGAAGCCCCGGCUAACUACGUGCCAGCAGCCGCGGUAAUACGUAGGGGGCAAGCGUUAUCCGGAUUUACUGGGUGUAAAGGGAGCGUAGACGGGAGUGCAAGUCUGGAGUGAAAGGCGGGGGCUCAACCCCCGGACUGCUCUGGAAACUGUACGGCUGGAGUGCAGGAGAGGUAAGUGGAAUUCGUAGUGUAGCGGUGAAAUGUGUAGAUAUUAGGAGGAACACCAGUGGCGAAGGCGGCUUACUGGACUGUAACUGACGUUGAGGCUCGAAAGCGUGGGGAGCGAACAGGAUUAGAUACCCUAGUAGUC